UGGAAGAAGGGGUAGAACAGUAUCAAAAAUGCUUCACUCCCAGGAAUGUGGUGAACAUAAAAUUAAAUAAUGAAAAAAGGUCAACUAUAAAGCACUAAAUAAAUGUAAGAUGGUGAAUCUGACAGAGGAAGAAUUAAAUGACUUGUUCAAGGUCACCUUUGAGGAAUUUGCAGGAAGUUUAACUUAUGUAUAUUUUUUCCCCUGUAGUACCCCAGAUGGAGUCUCACUCUGUUGCCCAGGCUGGAGUGCAGUGGCACCAUCUCGGCUCACUGCAACCUCCGCCUCCCAGGUUCAAGAGAUCCUCCUGCCUCAGCCCCACUAGUAGCUGGGAUUACAGGGAAAUCUAUUAUGGGACGGCCUGGAUAUGUCACUUUAAAAGUCCUGCCUUCAAUGAACAAAUGAGAAAAGAGAUGAGGUUUCACCAUGUUGCCCAAGCUGGUCUCUAACUUCUGGGCUCAGGCGGUCUGCCCUCCUUGGCCUCCCAAAGUGCUGAGAUUACAGACCAAGAAAUUGAGCUACAGUGAGGUCACACAGCCGAGAUCACACAGUGAAGAGUUGGGAUUUGAGCCUGGAAUACUCUGACCUCAGAGUCUGGAUGCUAGUCUCUUGCUGCCUCCCCUGUGUUAUGAGGUCAUGUCUAAAUCACCUCCAUUAUUGAAAAUGCUUGUGAAAGACCUAUUCUGCUGGAUAGAGCAAUCACCUGAGUCAAGUAUGAUCCAAAUGUUGCCAUUAGGUCCUACCCAACCCCAUCAAAGAUCAGAACCUGGAGGUGUGGUAACUCCCUCCAGUCCAA
This 793-nucleotide long non-coding RNA is filed under the name Pongo abelii (Sumatran orangutan). Its description in RNAcentral is "lincRNA". The record is from RNAcentral. Lineage: Eukaryota; Metazoa; Chordata; Mammalia; Primates; Hominidae.